RNAcentral lists this long non-coding RNA (640 nucleotides) under Daucus carota (carrot). RNAcentral describes it as "long non-coding RNA (DCAR_LNC004277)". The record is from RNAcentral. Lineage: Eukaryota; Viridiplantae; Streptophyta; Magnoliopsida; Apiales; Apiaceae.
ACCCGAAUUUCAAAAAAAAAAGGUUAAAUAUGUCAUAUAAUCAUUCAAAUCAAAACACAUAAACAUCUCAAAGGGGCUUUGAUCAUUUUCGGAGUUGUGAACUUAAUACACACAACUUUAUCAAUAAUAUCAUUGAGACAUUGAGAAUGAAUGACUUUGAUAGGUUUGGCUUAGUGGCUCGCCUUCGAGUUGUGCCAUGCUCGAGAUUGAAGUUCUUCCUUGUAGUACGCUCUUGUUAUGAUGCUUUCUUGAAUCAUAUCUUUAUAAAAGAUCAUUCAUCGAUGUUUGACCUAAACUUGAAACUAGGAUUACAGAGAUUGAGCAAUAUUUGACAAGAACAAAUGAUUUAAAGCAGGAAUAUGCGGAGUAAAUGGUGCUGAACAAAAAUCCGUGAUCGAUUUCAAUGUCGGUUUCAUGAUUUAGUAAGAAUUGAAGAAUCAUCAUUUAGGAAGGGGGCUAAUUGAGGAAGAAGGCCAAGGUUGGGGUUUAGGAGGAGAUGGGGGAGGAAUGAGGCUCUGUUGCGUGGGUGGGUGUGAGGGAGGCCGAAUGGCAUUGUAGUGAGGCGGCAUGGAUGGCGACAAGGUGGGGGUUGAUAGUGAAAUUAGAGCGACGUGGGUGGGAGUGACUAGGGGUGAUCACG